ACCUUGUUACGACUUCUCCUUCCUCUAAGUGUUAAGGUUCACAAAACUUCCCAUUUCGGGCACGAACGCGCCACAAAACGGUCCGAAUAAUUCACCGGAACACUCAAUCGGUAGGAGCGACGGGCGGUGUGUACAAAGGGCAGGGACGUAAUCGGCGCAAGCUGCUGACUUGCGCCUACUAGGCAUUCCUCGUUGAAGAUUAAUAAUUGCAAUAAUCUAUCCCCAUCACGAUGCAUACUCACAAGAUUACCUAGACCUAUCGGCCAAGGUUAUAAACUCGUUGGAUGCAUCAGUGUAGCGCGCGUGCAGCCCAGAACAUCUAAGGGCAUCACAGACCUGUUAUUGCCUCAAACUUCCUUGCGUUAGACACGCAAAGUCCCUCUAAGAAGUGAUACAAGAACACGAAGUUCCUGAUCCUAUUUAGC
This 425-nucleotide ribosomal RNA is filed under the name Toxoplasma gondii ME49. RNAcentral's name for it is "Toxoplasma gondii rRNA TGME49_459120". The record is from RNAcentral. Lineage: Eukaryota; Apicomplexa; Conoidasida; Eucoccidiorida; Sarcocystidae.